AUCAAAACAGAUCUUUCCCUGGGGAUUUAGGUCAGUGGCACCGCACAGCACCUGCUUCUCAAGUGCAAGGUCCUGAGUUCAAUCCCCGGUACCACCCCCCCAAAAAAUCCAGAUCCUAAAAGUCCUGAGACAGAGAUGGGUUGUGAAGAUCUGUGUUCUUAUAUCUUCAUUUGCAUUGGACACAAAGAAUCACAAUGAUCGAGGAGAAAAAGCUCACCUGUGGUUGAAUGAGCCUGAACUAUAGAUCUCCCUUCCUCAAGGUUCCAAGAAGGAAGUUACUUUGUUGCAUCUAUUCUGGAGGCCUCAGGAACCAUGUUUCAUCUCUCGAAGGCCAAAAUUAAACCAGGACAGGGGAUGUUUACUUCUGGGUCCCUCAAAGCUUGAAAGGCAGGAUCUCAUCUGUGACCUCAACCCCAGAAGCUUCAGCUCAUCUUAGGAUUUGAGUACUGCAUAACUUCUAGUUCAUACAUGGACAGAAAGACACAUGGCUGUGUCACUGCCUGAUCUUCUAACGAUAACUUUAUCUGAUAUUUCACAAAAAUAUAUAAAAAUGGCCGCCAAAGAUAAAAGUGCAGCAGAAAGACAAACAGAUAAAUCUGGAAGUGAAAUUCUGGUUGAAAGUGAAUGGAGUUAUAGAAACAACACCUGAGCACAGGAAUGUUGACCCUGCUGCUCUUUUGACACUACUUGAGAAUCCAGUUAGAGGACCAAAGUGAAAGUGAAUGUAUGUCAGUAUUUAGUGGAGAAACAGAUAUAACACAAGAUGUACAAAUAUGUAUGAAUUUACAAGACUGGCUUACAAUGGCCACCCACAGAGCAGGAUGAGGAAAAGUGCAGAGGGGCUGUCUGAACACUGGGGACCAAAGGAUUUAGUCGAAGGUCCAGAGCUCACUGCAGUGUCCAGUGCCAGUCUGUAUCAGGAGUCCGAUGGGUCUGCGGUGGAAGACUGAAGAGUCUAAGCUGGAAGGCUGGAGGAUCUGCGCCAGAAGCGGAAGAGUCUGUGUUGGAAGCCAGGAGAUGACAUCCAAGGUGCAGGCUGGAGCUCCUCGGAAGAAGCAGAAGCAGAUUCAUCUUUUCUCAUUUCCCCUUUAUACCAUUCAUGUGAGGAGCCACCAAAGGGUGGGUCCUCCAUGUGUGGAAUUGUUGAGCCAAUUUAGUUAAACUUCUCUUAACCAAACUUCUCAAGUUGACACAAUCAAUCAACCAUCACAAUAAACUUACUGACAUAAAUGAAGAAAGUGGUUUUGAUAAAAAGCAUGAAGAUACCCCAGAAAAACUGACAUAAGAGUUCUCAUGAAGACACCAAUAACCCUGUAAUGAAUGAGAAAUAUAACACCUGCAUCAUAUAUUCACAGGGCCUACAACUUAAAAAAAUGAAACAGACUUGGCAGUAAUGGAAAUAUAAGAAAUAAUGGAGACUGAAGAUUUGGAAGUUAUGUACAUUAUCAAAUGGGAAAUGCUGGUAUUUCAGUUCCAACUAUGUAUUCCCAGUUUGUGAGAUAGGAUUCCUGUAGGAACAUGAUGUGCGCAGACUCAGGUGUGGAAGACUGCAUGGUGGAGUUCCAAAGGAUCUAGCUGCAAGGAGAAGGCCUGGAGCUCACCACAGUGUCCUGUGAGAAUCUGCAUCAGGAGGCUGGAGGGCCUGCACUGCAAGACUGAAGUAUCUAUGCUGGAAGCCAGGAGAUGGACAUCCCAGGUGAAGGCGAACCCUGGAGCUCCUCUGAAGAAACAAAAUAAUCUUGCAGUAUAUAAAGAUGAAGGAUAUCACCCAUGUCCGUAAGAUGUUUAGAAGAUAGAGGUGAGAUGGAUCUACAAUGACUAAGCCAGAAAAGAUUUCUACUUUAAAGGCCUCAUGUUACUACACGAGAUCCACCAAAAUAAUCCAGGACAAUCUCUCAUUCUCCAUGUCCUUAGUGUAAUCAUUUUUAUAGAGUCAUUUUUACGAUAUAAGAUCAAACAUUCACUCAUUUUUGGGAUUAUAAUGUGGUCAUCUGGCGAAGUUUUAGUCUGUCUGCCAAAACUAUAUUGUCUAACAUACUGAC
This 2042-nucleotide long non-coding RNA is filed under the name Heterocephalus glaber (naked mole-rat). RNAcentral describes it as "lncRNA (ENSHGLG00100042738.1)". Lineage: Eukaryota; Metazoa; Chordata; Mammalia; Rodentia; Bathyergidae. The record is from RNAcentral.